UGCGGGGGCACUCUCCUGGUUUCCGGCUUCACACUGCUGGUUUCUUCUCCCUGCCUCCCGCGUUUCCCGAGACCUCCUGCUCCAGUUCCACGAAUGCGUCCUGAGUAACUGAGGCUCCCGUGGCACCAGCCCCUGUGGAUCUGAGCCUGGAUGAAGGUCUCAUGCAGAUGGGCACCCAACAACUGCACCCUGGUCGUGUGGGAGCACCCGCUUAAAGGAAUCAGUAGAAGCUUUCCCAGGAGAGGCAGAGUUGAGCCCGUUUUGUAGAUGAGCAGGAAUGGGCUGGAAGAAGAAAAUAGGAUUUUUUCCCCUCCAUUUAAAGGCACUCCAGACAGAUGCAAUAACAUGUGCAAAGGCAUAGAGGUGUGAAUAGCAUGCUGAGCCUGGGAAGCUGCAAGAAGCACAGUGUGGUUGGCAAUGUCAAUGUAUCUUUUCAUCAUGAAACAAACAUUCCUGAGGAUGUGCUUGACCUAGGGGGCCCUGCGGUCCACUGCCCGGCGGCCCUUGUCUCCCACCUCCAACUGGAGCAUUCAUCCCUCCUUGGCCGCCAGCUUGCCGACAGAACUCCAUUCCUUCCCAUGCCUCAGGCUGAAGAGCCACUCCUCAUGUAAUGUCACUCCCCUUUCCUGACAAGCCGGCGUCCAGUCAUUGGUCCACAGGGUGGAAUAAAGGCCCAACCCCCUUGCUCCAACUUGGGGCAACUAUGAGAAGUCAUUGCAACUCCAGAGCUUCCCAAGGGGUGGCCUGAGGCCUUUGUGGGGUCUGCAUCACAGCCCCAGUGGUCCCACUGCCCAACAGAUACUGUUCUUGAGAUCAGCCCUCAAUAAACUUUUGCCAACAAA
This is a long non-coding RNA of Phyllostomus discolor (pale spear-nosed bat), 842 nucleotides long. RefSeq lists it as uncharacterized. NCBI's taxonomy places the organism in Eukaryota, Metazoa, Chordata, Mammalia, Chiroptera, Phyllostomidae. The record is from RefSeq and is a predicted model, not a curated record. The transcript has 2 exons.